AGUGAAAUAAUUAUAUCAAAUGGUGGAUGCAUGCUUAACUUUUUAAGAAACUUCCAAACUGUUUUCCAAAGUUGUAACAUUUGAAAUUUCCAGCAAAAAU
RNAcentral lists this microRNA precursor (100 nucleotides) under Marmota monax (woodchuck). Lineage: Eukaryota; Metazoa; Chordata; Mammalia; Rodentia; Sciuridae. The record is from RNAcentral.